UGUGUAUUCGGACUUCCUGCUCUACA
RNAcentral lists this non-coding RNA (26 nucleotides) under Homo sapiens (human). The record is from RNAcentral. Lineage: Eukaryota; Metazoa; Chordata; Mammalia; Primates; Hominidae.